GAUGAACGCUAGCGACAGGCUUAACACAUGCAAGUCGAGGGGCAGCGAGGUGGUAGCAAUACCGCUGUCGGCGACCGGCGCACUGGUGAGUAACACGUAUGCGACCUGCCCCCUACAGGGGUAUAACCCGUAGAAAUGCGGACUAAUCCCCCAUAGUCCUGGAGGCUGCAUGGCUUUCAGGGGAAAGGCCAGCCGGUAGGGGAUGGGCAUGCGGCGCAUUAGCUAGUUGGCGGGGCAACGGCCCACCAAGGCGACGAUGCGUAGGGGUUCUGAGAGGAAGGUCCCCCACACUGGUACUGAGACACGGACCAGACUCCUACGGGAGGCAGCAGUGAGGAAUAUUGGUCAAUGGGCGCAGGCCUGAACCAGCCAAGUCGCGUGAGGGAGGACGGUCCUACGGAUUGUAAACCUCUUUUGUCGGGGAGUAACGUGCGGGACGCGUCCCGUAUUGAGAGUACCCGAAGAAAAAGCAUCGGCUAACUCCGUG
This 487-nucleotide ribosomal RNA is filed under the name uncultured bacterium. RNAcentral describes it as "bacterial SSU rRNA". It matches the Rfam family "Bacterial small subunit ribosomal RNA", at positions 28 to 507 of the family's 1533-position model. The record is from RNAcentral.